Molecule: unclassified non-coding RNA, 375 nt
Filed under: uncultured Actinomycetes bacterium
Lineage: Bacteria; Bacillati; Actinomycetota; Actinomycetes
Description: uncultured actinobacterium contains 16S-23S intergenic spacer region
Source: RNAcentral
UCCGAUUUGACAUCGGCAGUCCUCUUAGAGUCCCCGGCCGAACCGCUGGCAACAUAGGACAAGGGUUGCGCUCGUUGCGGGACUUAACCCAACAUCUCACGACACGAGCUGACGACAGCCAUGCACCACCUGUCACGGGCCCUUACGGACACUGUAUUUCUACAGCCUUUCCCGUGAUGUCAAACCCAGGUAAGGUUCUUCGGGUUGCAUCGAAUUAAGCCGCAUGCUCCGCCGCUUGUGCGGGGACCCGUCAAUUCCUUUGGGUUUUAGCCUUGCGGCCGUACUCCCCAGGCGGGGCGCUUAAUGCGUUAGCUACGGCGCGGAGACCGUGGAAAGUCCCCACACCUAGCGCCCAACGUUUACGGCAUGGACUAC